RNAcentral lists this ribosomal RNA (440 nucleotides) under uncultured bacterium. RNAcentral describes it as "partial 16S ribosomal RNA". It matches the Rfam family "Bacterial small subunit ribosomal RNA", at positions 338 to 795 of the family's 1533-position model. The record is from RNAcentral.
CCUACGGGAGGCAGCAGUGGGGAAUAUUGCACAAUGGGGGAAACCCUGAUGCAGCAACGCCGCGUGAGUGAAGAAGUAUUUCGGUAUGUAAAGCUGUAUCAGCAGGGAAGAAGAUGACGGUACCUGAGUAAGAAGCCCCGGCUAACUACGUGCCAGCAGCCGCGGUAAUACGGAGGGGGCAAGCGUUAUCCGGAUUUACGGGGUGUAAAGGGAGCGAAGACGGGGCGCCAAGGCUGGAGUGAAAUGCGGGAGCUUAACUGCGGAACUGGUUUGGAUACUGGCGAACUAGAGUGCGGGAGGGGUAAGCGGAAUUCCUAGUGUAGCGGGGAAAUGCGUAGAUAUUAGGAGGAACACCGGUGGCGAAGGCGGCUUACUGGACCGUAACUGACGUUGAGGAUCGAAAGCGUGGGGAGCAAACAGGAUUAGAUACCCCGGUAGUC